AUUGAACGCUGGCGGAAUGCUUUACACAUGCAAGUCGAGCGGCAGCGCGGGGGCAACCCUGGCGGCGAGCGGCGAACGGGUGAGUAACGCAUCGGAACGUACCUUGUAGUGGGGGAUAACUAUCCGAAAGGAUAGCUAAUACCGCAUACGCCCUGAGGGGGAAAGGGGGGGAUCGCAAGACCUCUCGCUACAGGAGCGGCCGAUGUCCGAUUAACUAGUUGGUGAGGUAAAGGCUCACCAAGGCGACGAUCGGUAGCUGGUCUGAGAGGAUGAUCAGCCACACUGGGACUGAGACACGGCCCAGACUCCUACGGGAGGCAGCAGUGGGGAAUUUUGGACAAUGGGGGGCAACCCUGAUCCAGCCAUUCCGCGUGAGUGAAGAAGGCC
RNAcentral lists this ribosomal RNA (387 nucleotides) under uncultured bacterium. RNAcentral describes it as "partial 16S ribosomal RNA". It matches the Rfam family "Bacterial small subunit ribosomal RNA", at positions 29 to 416 of the family's 1533-position model. The record is from RNAcentral.